AGAGUUUGAUCCUGGCUCAGGACGAACGCUGGCGGCGCGCCUAACACAUGCAAGUCGAACGAGCGAGAGAGAGCUUGCUUUCUCAAGCGAGUGGCGAACGGGUGAGUAACGCGUGAGGAACCUGCCUCAAAGAGGGGGACAACAGUUGGAAACGACUGCUAAUACCGCAUAAGCCCACGGCUCGGCAUCGAGCAGAGGGAAAAGGAGCAAUCCGCUUUGAGAUGGCCUCGCGUCCGAUUAGCUAGUUGGUGAGGUAACGGCCCACCAAGGCGACGAUCGGUAGCCGGACUGAGAGGUUGAACGGCCACAUUGGGACUGAGACACGGCCCAGACUCCUACGGGAGGCAGCAGUGGGGAAUAUUGCACAAUGGGGGAAACCCUGAUGCAGCGACGCCGCGUGGAGGAAGAAGGUCUUCGGAUUGUAAACUCCUGUUGUUGAGGAAGAUAAUGACGGUACUCAACAAGGAAGUGACGGCUAACUACGUGCCAGCAGCCGCGGUAAAACGUAGGUCACAAGCGUUGUCCGGAAUUACUGGGUGUAAAGGGAGCGCAGGCGGGAAGACAAGUUGGAAGUGAAAUCCAUGGGCUCAACCCAUGAACUGCUUUCAAAACUGUUUUUCUUGAGUAGUGCAGAGGUAGGCGGAAUUCCCGGUGUAGCGGUGGAAUGCGUAGAUAUCGGGAGGAACACCAGUGGCGAAGGCGGCCUACUGGGCACCAACUGACGCUGAGGCUCGAAAGUGUGGGUAGCAAACAGGAUUAGAUACCCUGGUAGUCCACACUGUAAACGAUGGAUGCCCGCUGUUGGGCCAACUGGUUCAGCGGCCAAGCGAAAGCAUUAAGCAUCCCACCUGGGGAGUACGCCGGCAACGGUGAAACUCAAAGGAAUUGACGGGGGCCCGCACAAGCGGAGGAACAUGUGGUUUAAUUCGAUGAUACGCGAGGAACCUUACCCGGGCUUGAAUUGCAGAGGAAGGAUUUGGAGACAAUGACGCCCUUCGGGGCCUCUGUGAAGGUGCUGCAUGGUUGUCGUCAGCUCGUGCCGUGAGGUGUCGGCUUAAGUGCCAUAACGAGCGCAACCCCUCUCCAUAGUUGCCAUCAGGUUAAGCUGGGCACUCUGUGGACACUGCCACCGUAAGGUGUGAGGAAGGUGGGGAUGACGUCAAAUCAGCACGGCCCUUACGUCCGGGGCUACACACGUGUUACAAUGGCAGGUACAGAGAGCCGGUCGUAUGCAAAUACGAUCCAAUCCUUAAAGCCUGUCUCAGUUCGGACUGGGGUCUGCAACCCGACCCCACGAAGCUGGAUUCGCUAGUAAUCGCGCAUCAGCCAUGGCGCGGUGAAUACGUUCCCGGGCCUUGUACACACCGCCCGUCAAGCCAUGAAAGCCGGGGGCGCCUGAAGUCCGUGACCGCAAGGAUCGGCCUAGGGCGAAACUGGUAAUUGGGGCUAAGUCGUAACAAGGUA
Molecule: ribosomal RNA, 1464 nt
Filed under: metagenome
Description: bacterial SSU rRNA
Rfam family: Bacterial small subunit ribosomal RNA
Source: RNAcentral